GACGAACGCUGGCGGCGUGCUUAACACAUGCAAGUCGAACGGAAAGGCCCUGCUUUUGUGGGGUGCUCGAGUGGCGAACGGGUGAGUAACACGUGAGUAACCUGCCCUUGAUUUUGGGAUAACUUCAGGAAACUGGGGCUAAUACCGGAUAGGAGCUCCUGCUGCAUGGUGGGGGUUGGAAAGUUUCGGCGGUUGGGGAUGGAUUCGCGGCUAAUCAGCUUGUUGGUGGGGUAGUGGCUUACCAAGGCUUUGACGGGUAGCCGGCCCGAGAGGGUGACCGGGCACCUUGGGACUGAGAGACGGCGCAGACUCCUACGGGAGGCAGAAGUGGGGAAUAUUGCACAAUGGGAGGAAGCCUGAUGCAGCAACGCCGCGUGCGGGAUGACGGCCUUCGGGUUGUAAACCGCUUUCGCCUGUGACGAAGCGUGAGUGACGGUAAUGGGUAAAGAAGCACCGGCUAACUACGUG
Molecule: ribosomal RNA, 468 nt
Filed under: uncultured bacterium
Lineage: Bacteria
Description: partial 16S ribosomal RNA
Rfam family: Bacterial small subunit ribosomal RNA
Source: RNAcentral